RNAcentral lists this ribosomal RNA (482 nucleotides) under uncultured bacterium. RNAcentral describes it as "partial 16S ribosomal RNA". It matches the Rfam family "Bacterial small subunit ribosomal RNA", at positions 30 to 507 of the family's 1533-position model. The record is from RNAcentral.
AUUGAACGCUGGCGGCAUGCCUUACACAUGCAAGUCGAACGGUAACGGGCCUUCGGGUGCCGACGAGUGGCGAACGGGUGAGUAAUACAUCGGAACGUGCCCGAUCGUGGGGGAUAACGAGGCGAAAGCUUUGCUAAUACCGCAUACGAUCUACGGAUGAAAGCAGGGGACCGCAAGGCCUUGCGCGGACGGAGCGGCCGAUGGCAGAUUAGGUAGUUGGGGGGAUAAAAGCUUACCAAGCCGACGAUCUGUAGCUGGUCUGAGAGGAUGAUCAGCCACACUGGGACUGAGACACGGCCCAGACUCCUACGGGAGGCAGCAGUGGGGAAUUUUGGACAAUGGGCGCAAGCCUGAUCCAGUCAUGCCGCGUGCAGGAUGAAGGCCUUCGGGUUGUAAACUGCUUUUGUACGGAACGAAAAGCCUUCUUUUAAUACAGGAGGGUCAUGACGGUACCGUAAGAAUAAGCACCGGCUAACUACGUG